GAUGAACGCUGGCGGCGUGCCUAAUACAUGCAAGUCGAGCGAACAGACGAGGAGCUUGCUCCUCUGACGUUAGCGGCGGACGGGUGAGUAACACGUGGAUAACCUCCCUAUAAAACUGGGAUAACUUAGGGAAACCGGAGCUAAUACCGGAAAAUAUAUUGAAAUGCAUGGUUCAAUAGUGAAAGACGGUUUUGCGGUCACUUAUAGAUAGAACCGUGCCGCAUAAGCUAGUUGGUAAGGUAACGGCUUACCAAGGCAACGAUGCGUAGCCGACACGAAAGGGUGGUCCACCACACUGGAACUGAGACGCGGUCCUGACUCCUACGGGAUGCAGCAGUAGGGAAUCUUCCGCAAUGGGCGAAAGCCUGACGGAGCAACGCCGCGUGAGUGAUGAAGGUCUUCGGAUCGUAAAACUCUGUUAGGAGGGAAGAACAAAUGUGUAAAUAACUAGGAACUUCUUGACGGUACCUAAUCAGAAAGCCACGGCUAACUCCGUG
This 497-nucleotide ribosomal RNA is filed under the name uncultured bacterium. Its description in RNAcentral is "partial 16S ribosomal RNA". It matches the Rfam family "Bacterial small subunit ribosomal RNA", at positions 28 to 507 of the family's 1533-position model. The record is from RNAcentral.